UACCUGCAGCUCGAGUGGUAACCGCUAUUAUUGGGCCUAAAGCGUCCGUAGCCGGUUUGGUAAAUAUCUGGGUAAAUCGUGAGGCUUAACUUCACGAAUUUCGGAUAGACUGCCAGACUUGGGAUCGGGGGAGGUCAGAGGUACUCCAGGGGUAGCGGUGAAAUGUUGUAAUCCUUGGAGGACCACCGGUAGCGAAGGCGUCUGACUAGAACGAGUCCGACGGUGAGGGACGAAGCCCUGGGGCGCAAACCGGAUUAGAUACCCGGGUAGUCCAGGGUGUAAACGAUGUGGGCUUUGUAUUGGAGGUCCCACGUGGGCGUCCAGUGCAGAAGAGAAGUUGUUAAGCCCACCGCCUGGGAAGUACGGUCGCAAGGCUGAAACUUAAAGGAAUUGGCGGGGAGCACAGCAACGGGAGGAGCGGUGCGGUUU
RNAcentral lists this ribosomal RNA (429 nucleotides) under uncultured archaeon. RNAcentral describes it as "bacterial SSU rRNA". It matches the Rfam family "Archaeal small subunit ribosomal RNA", at positions 474 to 903 of the family's 1478-position model. The record is from RNAcentral.